GACAGAGGUGCCGAGCGUUAGGCGGAAUCACUGGGCUUAAAGCGUGUGUAGGCGGGCCGUUAAGUGCCUUGUGAAAUCCCCGGGCUUAACCUGGGAACUGCAUUUGUGACUGCAUAGCUAGAGUACGGUAGAGGGGGAUGGAAUUCCGCGUGUAGCAGUGAAAUGCGUAGAUAUGCGGAGGAACACCGAUGGCGAAGGCAAUCCCCUGGACCUGUACUGACGCUCAUGCACGAAAGCGUGGGGAGCAAACAGG
This 253-nucleotide ribosomal RNA is filed under the name uncultured bacterium. RNAcentral's name for it is "partial 16S ribosomal RNA". It matches the Rfam family "Bacterial small subunit ribosomal RNA", at positions 524 to 776 of the family's 1533-position model. The record is from RNAcentral.